GUGACUUUUAAGCAAACAGUUUCAUUGGAGUUAUAAGGACAGAAUUGACAUCACAAAGUACUGAGUGGUCACAAAGUAGAACCAUUGGACACAGGCAACUUUUUAGAAAAUUUAUCAGGAAAGGGAAGAAGAGAGAUCUGACAUUGACUGGAUAUAUUAUAAUAGCUAAGAAAUGUUUCUUAGUACAGUGAAACACAGAUUAUAUUUAUUAAUGGAUGGGAAAGAGGUGCCUCUCAUCACCUACCCCUCUGCCUAGCAGCCCAAUGGGAGUGCUUCCUCUCUCCUCUGACUGGGGGGAGAACUAAGAGAAGAUAAUGACUUGUCCUUGGAGACACAGGAAAUGAGUGACAGACCAAAUGAACUCAGUCAGAGCCUGAGCCCAAAGUAUCUAUAUGAAGAAAUGAAAAAGAUUCCCUGGAAAAGGUUCAUAUUGUUACAUCAA
Molecule: long non-coding RNA, 442 nt
Filed under: Monodelphis domestica (gray short-tailed opossum)
Lineage: Eukaryota; Metazoa; Chordata; Mammalia; Didelphimorphia; Didelphidae
Description: lncRNA (ENSMODG00000050545.1)
Source: RNAcentral